UACGUAGGGUGCAAGCGUUGUCCGGAAUUAUUGGGCGUAAAGAGCUUGUAGGCGGUUUGUCGCGUCUGCUGUGAAAUUUCGGGGCUCAACCCCGAACUUGCAGUGGGUACGGGCAGACUAGAGUGUGGUAGGGGAGAUUGGAAUUCCUGGUGUAGCGGUGGAAUGCGCAGAUACCAGGAGGAACACCAAUGGCGAAGGCAGAUCUCUGGGCCGUAACUGACGCUGAGGAGCGAAAGCAUGGGGAGCGAACAGG
RNAcentral lists this ribosomal RNA (253 nucleotides) under uncultured bacterium. Its description in RNAcentral is "partial 16S ribosomal RNA". It matches the Rfam family "Bacterial small subunit ribosomal RNA", at positions 524 to 776 of the family's 1533-position model. The record is from RNAcentral.